AGAAUCAACGCUGGCGGCGUGCCUAACACAUGCAAGUCGCACGAGAAAGGGGAGCAAUCCCUGAGUAAAGUGGCGCACGGGUGAGUAACACGUGAAUGAUCUACCUCCGAGUGGGGAAUAAACUGAGAGAAAUCUUGGCUAAUACCGCAUAACACUUACGAGUCAAAGCAGCAAUGCGCUUGGAGAGGAGUUCGCGGCCGAUUAGCUAGUUGGCGGGGUAAUGGCCCACCAAGGCGAUGAUCGGUA
This 246-nucleotide ribosomal RNA is filed under the name uncultured bacterium. RNAcentral's name for it is "partial small subunit ribosomal RNA". It matches the Rfam family "Bacterial small subunit ribosomal RNA", at positions 26 to 285 of the family's 1533-position model. The record is from RNAcentral.